GCCGCGGUCGCUUAGUCUGGCUAUAGCGGUAGAUUGCUAAUCUACUGUCCUUCGGGGCACGUGAGUUCAAAUCUCACCCGCGGCG
Molecule: transfer RNA, 85 nt
Filed under: archaeon
Lineage: Archaea
Description: tRNA-Ser
Rfam family: tRNA
About the family: Transfer RNA (tRNA) molecules are approximately 80 nucleotides in length.
Source: RNAcentral